AGCGAACGCUGGCGGCAGGCUUAACACAUGCAAGUCGAGCGGGCGUAGCAAUACGUCAGCGGCAGACGGGUGGGUAACGCGUGGGAACAUACCUUUUGGUUCGGAACAACACAGGGAAACUUGUGCUAAUACCGGAUAAGCCCUUACGGGGAAAGAUUUAUCGCCGAAAGAUUGGCCCGCGUCUGAUUAGCUAGUUGGUGAGGUAAUGGCUCACCAAGGCGACGAUCAGUAGCGGUCUGAGAGGAUGAUCAGCCACAUUGGGACUGAGACACGGCCCAAACUCCUACGGGAGGCAGCAGUGGGGAAUAUUGGACAAUGGGCGCAAGCCUGAUCCAGCCAUGCCGCGUGAGUGAUGAAGGCCCUAGGGUUGUAAGCUCUUUUGUGCGGGAAGAUAAUGACGGUACCGCAAGAAU
RNAcentral lists this ribosomal RNA (413 nucleotides) under uncultured bacterium. Its description in RNAcentral is "bacterial SSU rRNA". It matches the Rfam family "Bacterial small subunit ribosomal RNA", at positions 29 to 487 of the family's 1533-position model. The record is from RNAcentral.